This is a microRNA precursor of Amphilophus citrinellus (Midas cichlid), 62 nucleotides long. Ensembl annotates it as microRNA 17. The record is from Ensembl. Lineage: Eukaryota; Metazoa; Chordata; Actinopteri; Cichliformes; Cichlidae.
CAAAGUGCUUACAGUGCAGGUAGUACUAUGGAAUACCUACUGCAGUGGAGGCACUUACAGCA